This 435-nucleotide ribosomal RNA is filed under the name uncultured bacterium. RNAcentral's name for it is "partial 16S ribosomal RNA". It matches the Rfam family "Bacterial small subunit ribosomal RNA", at positions 29 to 507 of the family's 1533-position model. The record is from RNAcentral.
AGCGAACGCUGGCGGCAGGCUUAACACAUGCAAGUCGAACGGGCAUCUUCGGAUGUCAGCGGCAGACGGGUGAGUAACACGUGGGAACGUACCCUUCGGUUCGGAACAACUCUGGGAAACUGGAGCUAAUACCGGAUACGCCCUUAUGGGGAAAGGUUUACUGCCGAAGGAUCGGCCCGCGUCUGAUUAGCUAGUUGGUGGGGUAACGGCCUACCAAGGCGACGAUCAGUAGCUGGUCUGAGAGGAUGAUCAGCCACACUGGGACUGAGACACGGCCCAGACUCCUACGGGAGGCAGCAGUGGGGAAUAUUGGACAAUGGGCGCAAGCCUGAUCCAGCUAUGCCGCGUGAGUGAUGAAGGCCUUAGGGUUGUAAAGCUCUUUUGUCCGGGACGAUAAUGACGGUACCGGAAGAAUAAGCCCCGGCUAACUUCGUG